CCCUGCCAUUUGUACACACCGCCCGUCGCUACUACCGAUUGAAUGGCUGAGUGAGGCCUUCGGACUGGCCCAGGGAGGUCGGCAACGACCACCCAGGGCCGGAAAGUUGGUCAAACUCCGUCAUUUAGAGGAAG
This 134-nucleotide ribosomal RNA is filed under the name uncultured eukaryote. Its description in RNAcentral is "partial small subunit ribosomal RNA". It matches the Rfam family "Eukaryotic small subunit ribosomal RNA", at positions 1651 to 1782 of the family's 1831-position model. The record is from RNAcentral.